UACGGGGGGGGCAAGCGUUGUUCGGAAUUACUGGGCGUAAAGGGUUUGUAGGUGGCUUGCUAAGUCAGACGUGAAAUCCCUCAGCUUAACUGGGGAACUGCGUCUGAGACUGGCAAGCUUGAGUGCAGGAGAGGAAUGCGGAAUUCCAGGUGUAGCGGUGAAAUGCGUAGAUAUCUGGAGGAACACCGGUGGCGAAGGCGGCGUUCUGGACUGCAACUGACACUGAGGAACGAAAGCCAGGGGAGCAAACGGG
Molecule: ribosomal RNA, 253 nt
Filed under: uncultured bacterium
Lineage: Bacteria
Description: partial 16S ribosomal RNA
Rfam family: Bacterial small subunit ribosomal RNA
Source: RNAcentral